Molecule: ribosomal RNA, 582 nt
Filed under: Triticum aestivum (bread wheat)
Lineage: Eukaryota; Viridiplantae; Streptophyta; Magnoliopsida; Poales; Poaceae
Description: partial small subunit ribosomal RNA
Source: RNAcentral
AUGGUGAUGAAGGCCGAGCUUCAGGCCUCCAACCAAACACACCUUCGGCAGGUCUCGAGGCAAAAUUUGGUCAGGGUGGCAACCAAGCAGCCCUUCUCCAAACAUAGUUUCAGAACUGUGUAUCGAAGGUGCAGGCGUGACAGGCGCCUCCACGCGGCGGCGAUCAUGGCCGCGGCCCUCCGCCCCCUGCUCCGCCGGCACGCAGUUCUGCCGCCAUCUUCGAUGCUGCGCUGUCUAUUCCCCGCGCCGUACUCCAAGGCCGCCGCCAGACCCCCAGCCGUGUGCCACGCGCCCCUGCCGCCUCCCCUUCUGAGGGAGGUUACGCCAAGGAGGGCUCCUCCAAUUCCAAAGGGUGAACCACGCCGCUGCACUGCUGUUCAAAGUACAAAGUCGUUGCUGGAUAAACUGAAGGAUCUCAAGGACAGUAAGAAGCCACUGGACAACAUGGAAAAGAAUAUUAAGGAGCGUAGGGAAAUGAUAAAGAAAGCGCUGCAUGACUCUAGGGUUGCUAAUUCUAUGUUUAGGGUAAGACUGGAUGGCCUUAGGAAACUUCUUGCCAAUAUACCGCAGAUUGGAGGAUGA